UGCGUAGGCGGAACUUUAAGUCAGUGGUGAAAUCCUGCGGCUCAACCGUAGAACUGCCAUUGAUACUGAUGUUCUUGAAUGCAGUUGAGGUAGGCGGAAUGUGUAAUGUAGCGGUGAAAUGCUUAGAUAUUACACAGAACACCGAUUGCGAAGGCAGCUUGCUAAACUGUGAUUGACGCUGAUGCACGAAAGCGUGGGGAGCGAACAGGAUUAGAUACCCUGGUAGUCCC
Molecule: ribosomal RNA, 230 nt
Filed under: uncultured bacterium
Lineage: Bacteria
Description: partial 16S ribosomal RNA
Rfam family: Bacterial small subunit ribosomal RNA
Source: RNAcentral